Molecule: long non-coding RNA, 304 nt
Filed under: Homo sapiens (human)
Lineage: Eukaryota; Metazoa; Chordata; Mammalia; Primates; Hominidae
Description: HSALNT0219479
Source: RNAcentral
CUCAGAUUCCAUGUCCUUCUCCUUAAUCUGGUUCUCUUAUUCAUGAUACCCAAAAUCUGCUGUUUCUUCCCAGCUCCCUGACCUCCCUAUCUCAUGUUAGAUCUGCAGUUUCACCCCUUACCUCUGGAUCCUUGUUUUAUUCCCCUAGAAAGUGUGAGAACAACGUUGGUGCCUACCCUACUGGGAUUCUGUUUAUUUUUCCAUGAGACAUUGCAAGCUCUCCAUAGGUAGCAUGAAAGGUGAUUUGAUUCACCUUGAGGCCUUAGCAGGUAGAUGUUUUAGGAAAUCUGAAGGUGAGAAAAAC